AUUGCUUCUGCGAUACUUAUCUU
RNAcentral lists this microRNA (23 nucleotides) under Cordylochernes scorpioides. The record is from RNAcentral. Lineage: Eukaryota; Metazoa; Arthropoda; Arachnida; Pseudoscorpiones; Chernetidae.